This 468-nucleotide ribosomal RNA is filed under the name uncultured bacterium. RNAcentral describes it as "partial 16S ribosomal RNA". It matches the Rfam family "Bacterial small subunit ribosomal RNA", at positions 28 to 507 of the family's 1533-position model. The record is from RNAcentral.
GAUGAACGCUGGCGGCGUGCUUAACACAUGCCAGUCGAACGGAAAGGCCCAAGCUUGCUUGGGUACUCGAGUGGCGAACGGGUGAGUAACACGUGGGUGAUCUGCCCUGCACUUCGGGAUAAGCCUGGGAAACUGGGUCUAAUACCGGAUAGGACGAUGGUUUGGAUGCCAUUGUGGAAAGUUUUUUCGGUGUGGGAUGAGCUCGCGGCCUAUCAGCUUGUUGGUGGGGUAAUGGCCUACCAAGGCGUCGACGGGUAGCCGGCCUGAGAGGGUGUACGGCCACAUUGGGACUGAGAUACGGCCCAGACUCCUACGGGAGGCAGCAGUGGGGAAUAUUGCACAAUGGGCGCAAGCCUGAUGCAGCGACGCCGCGUGGGGGAUGACGGCCUUCGGGUUGUAAACUCCUGUCGCUAGGGACGAAGCGUUUUUGUGACGGUACCUGGAGAAGAAGCACCGGCUAACUACGUG